UACCCCAACUGUUGGUUUCCCUGGUAACCGAAGAGCCAAUCUGACGUCAGUUCCUCCCUAUAAAUGAAAGCCUUCUCCUCCGAGUUAGCGAAGGUUGCUGUCACUUCUUGUCUGCCAUUUGCUUCACAAAGUGCGUGUUGCUCCAGGACUUCGCUUCUGAUGUGUAAGAUCCCUUAUCCAAUAAGCCACUGAUGUCUUUGUUGCUGGGCUUUUUCUUUGUUCUCAAGGUUUGCAGGCCUGAGGUGGAGGUACAUACCCAACAGGAAACAGUUUCAAUCUGAUAAUGUUUGAGGAAGUAAUUGCCAAUCAUCCUACACUCGGCAGUGGAGCUGGAAGAUGAAGAAAGGAUUGGAACACCGUGCGGUUGUCAUAGGGUAUCCUGUCGCCAUGGGCCCAGCUGACCAUCAACCAUCAUCAGCUGGGGGCUGGCAGGGUUCUGGUCUUUGCAUGGAGAACAGAGCCAUCCAACCGCAUAGACCACCCCACCUGCAUCCCCUUUGGAAUGUUUGUGCAUUUGAUAACAACCAUCUUCUUCCUGUUGAACUUAUAUGCUGGCAGGGAACUCAUAUGCUGCCUUUCUAGUAAAAAAAGGCGCUUGAUUCCUUAACUCUGUCUCCACCUCUUUUAUCUUAAUAUCUUCUCAGCAACUCAGACUGGACAGAAGCGGCUUAAGAGGGGAAUAUUUUAGAACACACAAAA
Long non-coding RNA from Bubalus bubalis (water buffalo), 699 nucleotides. RefSeq lists it as uncharacterized. The record is from RefSeq and is a predicted model, not a curated record. Lineage: Eukaryota; Metazoa; Chordata; Mammalia; Artiodactyla; Bovidae. The transcript is spliced from 2 exons.